RNAcentral lists this long non-coding RNA (1108 nucleotides) under Homo sapiens (human). Its description in RNAcentral is "HSALNT0336404". The record is from RNAcentral. Lineage: Eukaryota; Metazoa; Chordata; Mammalia; Primates; Hominidae.
CAGGGGCCCAUGUCAUUCUGCUCUGGGUUCAGACGUGCACUGCAGCAGCACCGGGACUUGACAGCCCUACGGCUCGAUCAGCUUUCUGUUUUCAUUGCCUUACGAUGCCAUGAGUGGAACUAUUGUCAAAUCAGAGUUCACUCCCCAGCUUUUCAGUCUUUCCCCUAAUUCUUGCUCUAUCAGAGGUCGAGGACAACAGUAUAAUGAUUCAUAGGUUCUACUUCCUGGCAAGUAAUCAUUUUCCCACGGGCCCUUGUGAAUUGAUGAAUAUGAAGACACUAAGAAAGCAGAAAUAGAACUGAGAAGAAUGAAAUAACUGUCUCUACCUUUCUCGAAUUGUCUAAUAUGGAAAGAAUGAAAGACAGCUAAUAAGCAACUCUCUGCAAGAAGACAUAUGGCUUAGGUUCUGCUGAGCUAUUGGUGAUUUGAUUCCAUGCAUAUGUAUUCACUACUGAGAUGGGAUCUUGCUAUGUGGCCCAGGCUGGCCUCAAACUCCUGGCCUCAAGAUAUUUCCCCCUGCCUUGGCCUCUCAAAGUGAAUCUACUUGGAGAGAGUCAAACACAGAAUCCCUUUGAAUUUAAUGGCCAUUCCAGGUGAUUUGAACAGCCAAAUAAGAAACAGGUCCUCUUCAAUGUACAAUCUGCCAAGUAUGAAGUCUGAAUGACCAUCAUUAUUAUGUAUUUAAUGUGCAUAGAAAAUCUAUCUGCAACCUUCCAGAGUGUACCAGAAGUUUGGAAUGUACAUUAUUAUUGGCUCCAUCUCAAACCACUCAUAAAUCAAAGAAAAUAGCAGUUCCAGAGGAAUCAUCAUAGAGGCUUCUAGGCCCCCAUGCUGUGUGAACCUGGUGAGAAAGGGAAGUCUGCUCUCACUGGACACUGGAACUGUUUGUCUCUGUCUCUGCUGUACUUUCCCUGCCUCUACCUCACUUAGUAAAGAAAUCAUCUUUGCUUGAUAACUAAAACAACCAAUAAGGCUGAGAAAGGGGAAAACCCACAUCUGGAUUUAAAUACAAGGUAUUGGGCCAGCUGCUGGGGAUUAAACUUUGAACAAAACAGAUAGAAUCUAUGUCCUCAUGGGAGUGGCUAAUGGGAGAGUCGGAACAAAAAAA